CUCCUGCCAGAUCCUCACUAGAUGCCUCUCCGAAAGGCAUCCACUAGAUGAUCUAUGACCUUCAUGGCUAGAUCUCAGCUAGAUCCGCAAGCUCUAGCCUCGUCUCCAAUUUUUCAGGCUCCUCCUCCUCCGGCAAUGGCAGUCGGCAUGGAGCAGUUUGACCUACUGAUUCAGCAGGUCAGGGGCCUCACCGAAGUAGUGCAGGCCAUGCAGCAGUAGCCGCAGGCUUCUUUGCAGCUGGAAAGAGCAUCACCGGAGUUCUAGAAUCCGAUGAUUGGGCGGGC
Molecule: long non-coding RNA, 284 nt
Filed under: Elaeis guineensis (African oil palm)
Lineage: Eukaryota; Viridiplantae; Streptophyta; Magnoliopsida; Arecales; Arecaceae
Description: long non-coding RNA (EGUI_LNC045060)
Source: RNAcentral